GAGUUUGAUCCUGGCUCAGGACGAACGCUGGCGGCGUGCUUAACACAUGCAAGUCGAACGGAAAGGCCCUGCUUGCAGGGUACUCGAGUGGCGAACGGGUGAGUAACACGUGGGUGAUCUGCCCUGCACUUCGGGAUAAGCCUGGGAAACUGGGUCUAAUACCGGAUAGGACCAUCGUUUAGUGUCGGUGGUGGAAAGUUUUUCGGUGCAGGAUGAGCUCGCGGCCUAUCAGCUUGUUGGUGGGGUAAUGGCCUACCAAGGCGUCGACGGGUAGCCGGCCUGAGAGGGUGGACGGCCACAUUGGGACUGAGACACGGCCCAGACUCCUACGGGAGGCAGCAGUGGGGAAUAUUGCACAAUGGGCGCAAGCCUGAUGCAGCGACGCCGCGUGGGGGAUGAAGGCCUUCGGGUUGUAAACUCCUUUCAACCAUGACGAAGCAUUAUGUGACGGUAGUGAGAAGAGCC
RNAcentral lists this ribosomal RNA (465 nucleotides) under uncultured Corynebacterium sp. Its description in RNAcentral is "bacterial SSU rRNA". It matches the Rfam family "Bacterial small subunit ribosomal RNA", at positions 9 to 494 of the family's 1533-position model. Lineage: Bacteria; Bacillati; Actinomycetota; Actinomycetes; Mycobacteriales; Corynebacteriaceae. The record is from RNAcentral.